CUGGACACAGAAGUAUGCCAUGGGAUGAUAGAUAAUCAGAUACUGUACAAAUGGGUUGUGUCUAUUUGUGAAAUGUGUAGAAUCCGUUUUAACUUUUGGACUUGGUCUGAGAGGGAGGGGGUUGGUGUUAGGGAAUGAACUUGAGUUCUUCAGUGGAAACUAUAGUUUGGGGAUUGGCUGGAAAAUAACUUUAUUGCCUGGAUGUUUUGAUGUAGACAAUGUCUGUUGUUUAAAGCUCUUAUUUUCUCUGGUGUUAAACCCCUUCUUCGCUUGGUGAUUUGAUCAAAUAAUAUUAUGCUUUAAACA
RNAcentral lists this unclassified non-coding RNA (306 nucleotides) under Hevea brasiliensis (rubber tree). Lineage: Eukaryota; Viridiplantae; Streptophyta; Magnoliopsida; Malpighiales; Euphorbiaceae. The record is from RNAcentral.